CCCCUCUCAGGAUCACAACUGGAGAGUUUCCAGUACUCUACCAGUCUUGGCUAUGGGAGGGAGAGUCAAGCAGAAGCCUACCCAUUCCAUUCCUAGCUUGGGUAUUGGUUAGCGAGUGGAAGGCAAUCUGCUACAGGU
Tachyglossus aculeatus (Australian echidna) is the source of this 138-nucleotide small nucleolar RNA. The record is from RefSeq and is a predicted model, not a curated record. NCBI's taxonomy places the organism in Eukaryota, Metazoa, Chordata, Mammalia, Monotremata, Tachyglossidae.